UACAGAGGGUGCAAGCGUUAAUCGGAAUUACUGGGCGUAAAGCGCACGUAGGCGGUUUUUUAAGUCAGAUGUGAAAGCCCCGGGCUCAACCUGGGAAUUGCAUCUGAAACUGGGAAACUAGAGUGUGUGAGAGGGGGGUAGAAUUCCAAGUGUAGCGGUGAAAUGCGUAGAGAUUUGGAGGAAUACCAGUGGCGAAGGCGGCCCCCUGGCACAACACUGACGCUCAGGUGCGAAAGCGUGGGGAGCAAACAGG
RNAcentral lists this ribosomal RNA (253 nucleotides) under uncultured bacterium. RNAcentral describes it as "partial 16S ribosomal RNA". It matches the Rfam family "Bacterial small subunit ribosomal RNA", at positions 524 to 776 of the family's 1533-position model. The record is from RNAcentral.